This 1427-nucleotide ribosomal RNA is filed under the name uncultured bacterium. RNAcentral describes it as "bacterial SSU rRNA". It matches the Rfam family "Bacterial small subunit ribosomal RNA". The record is from RNAcentral.
UGCAGUCCGAACGGCAGCGCGAGAGAGCUUGCUUCUCUUGGCGGCGAGUGGCGGACGGGUGAGUAAUAUAUCGGAACGUGCCCGGUAGCGGGGGAUAACUACUCGAAAGAGUGGCUAAUACCGCACACGCCCUACGGGGGAAAGGGGGGGAUCGCAGGACCUCUCACUAUUGGAGCGGCCGAUAUCGGAUUAGCUAGUUGGUGGGGUAAAGGCUCACCAAGGCAACGAUCCGUAGCUGGUUUGAGAGGACGACCAGCCACACUGGGACUGAGACACGGCCCAGACUUCCUACGGGAGGCGGCAGUGGGGAAUUUUGGACAAUGGGGGAAACCCUGAUCCCAGCCAUCCCGCGUGUAUGAUGAAGGCCUUCGGGUUGUAAAGUACUUUUGGCAGAGAAGAAAAGGUAUCCCCUAAUACGGGAUACUGCUGACGGUAUCUGCAGAAUAAGCACCGGCUAAUCUACGUGCCAGCAGCCGCGGUAAUACGUAGGGUGCAAGCGUUAAUCGGAAUUACUGGGCGUAAAAGCGUGUGUAGGCGGUUCGGAAAGAAAGAUGUGAAAUCCCAGGGCUCAACCUUGGAACUGCAUUUUUAACUGCCGAGCUAGAGUAGAGGCAGAGGGGGGGUAGAAUUCCACGGUGGUAGCCAUGAAAUGCGUAAAUAUGGUGGGAGGAAUACCGAUGGGCGAACGCAGCCCCCUGGGAAUAAUACUGACGCUCAGACACGAAAGGCGUGGGGGAGCAAACAGGAUUAGAUACCCUGGCUAGUCCACGCCCUAAACGAUGUCAACUAGGCUGGUUGGGGGCCGUUAGGCCUCAGUAGCGCAGCUAACGCGUGAAGUUGACCGCCCUGGGGGGAGUACGGUCGCAAGAUUAAAACUCAUAGGAGUUGACGGCGACCCGCACAAGCGGUGGAUGAUGUGGUUUAAUUCGAUGCAACGCGAAAAACCUUACCUACCCUUGACAUGUCUGGAAAGCCGAAGAGAUUUGGCCUUGCUCGCAAGAGAACCGGAACACAGGUGCUGCAUGGCAGUCGUCAGCUCGUGUCGUGAGAUGUUGGGUUAAGUCCCGCAACGACCGCAACCCUUGUCAUUAGCUGCUACGCAAGAGCACUUUAAUGAGACUGCCGGUGACAAACCGGAGGAAGGUGGGGAUGACGUCAAGUCCUCAUGGCCCUUAUGGCUAGGGCUUCACACGUCAUACAAUGGUCGGGACAGAGGGUCGCCAACCCGCGAGGGGGAGCCAAUCUCAGAAACCCGAUCGUAGUCCGGAUCGCAGUCUGCAACUCGACUGCGUGAAGUCGGAAUCGCUAGUAAUCGCGGAUCAGAAUGUCGCGGUGAAUACGUUCCCGGGUCUUGUACACACCGCCCGUCACACCAUGGGAGUGGGUUUCACCAGAAGUAGGUAGCCUAACCGUAAGGAGGGCGCUAC